CAUGGCCACUCUUCCUCUUCCACCAUAAGCCCUAAACCCUGCCAAAGGAGGUUGCCCAAGGCCCAGACGGCAAGGACAGGGCUCCAGGAGCAGCCCAGGGCCUCACCAAGGCUCCCUGACCACCCAUAAGAGGGAGCAGGGUCCCUCCGGGAUACAGAGCCACCCCCAGAUACGGCCCCACACUCACUCUCUGGCGUGCCCACUCCAAUCCGUCAGGGCAAGCCAUCCCAUACCUGCCCCACCUCCAGGUCUGCUGUGCAGGGAAGGGAAAGGAAGCUGGG
This 281-nucleotide long non-coding RNA is filed under the name Homo sapiens (human). RNAcentral's name for it is "HSALNT0023125". The record is from RNAcentral. Lineage: Eukaryota; Metazoa; Chordata; Mammalia; Primates; Hominidae.